CUGAGUAGCGUCUGCCUGUGCGCGUGCCAGGCUCUGACGUGCCGACGCUGCCGUCGCCGCGGCGCAUCGGCAGGCGCGAGCCCGUCCUGCCGCUGUAACACGCCGCGAUCGAACGCAGCCCGGCCUGCGCGCGAUUCGCGCACGCGCUAAGUAGUAUUAUGGCAGGGGCCGGCCGGCCGCUGGCGGCGCAAGGCCGCCACCCGCGCGCUUGCGGCGUGGCGGCCCGCUUAGCCUGCCGCGAAUUCGGCUGGUCUCCUGCCCAGCGCUACGUAAUGACUCUCUCUUCACGUGCUGCGGCUGCCUGCGCAAGCUGCCUGCGCCGGGCACGGCGCGCUGCCGUGGGCGAUCCCCGCGGCCGCACUGUAGCUCCGCGCGCGGGCGCGCGGCAGCCAACAGCUACUUAGAGAGGCAAGCAAGUAAGCUCAAAGCGUCCAAA
This 436-nucleotide ribosomal RNA is filed under the name Callerebia baileyi. RNAcentral's name for it is "eukaryotic LSU rRNA". The record is from RNAcentral. Lineage: Eukaryota; Metazoa; Arthropoda; Insecta; Lepidoptera; Nymphalidae.